Molecule: long non-coding RNA, 1516 nt
Organism: Neofelis nebulosa (Clouded leopard)
Lineage: Eukaryota; Metazoa; Chordata; Mammalia; Carnivora; Felidae
Exons: 4
Source: RefSeq, a predicted model, not a curated record
UGGCUCCAGCUGAAUCCAGUCCAGCCCCAUCCUGGCGUUCGGUGGCUUUCACAGACCAGGCUUUGGCCUCACGUCCCCUCUCUGGGCAUCUGGUCCCGAAUCGUCCCCGGAUGAUGAACACCGCGAAAUAUUCAGGACAGUUCGGCUGUUGAUAAUGUUUUGCAACCAAGGAGCAAGAUAUUAGCCAACUUGUGGGUGUGUACAGAGGUGUCAGAAAGAAACUUCCACUUGGGGACAGAAGAGCCAAAAAAAAAAAAAAAAGAAGAAGAAGAAGAAGGAGAAGAAAAAGAAAAAGAGUGCUCCCCUGACCAGUGAGGAGUGGAACGGGCAGCUUUCCCAGGUUCUGCUGGCCCAGGCUUGGGGCCUGAAGUGUAUGCCCUGCCUGCCCACUCAAGAGGUAAUUAAGAGCUGAUUGCUGGUAAUUAAGAGUUGCUGAGAGAGGCAGCAGGAUCCAAAAAGGAGACGCGCUCGUUUUGUCUUCCUGUGGACAGGCCCCUGACGCCCGCCCCUCCCCCUCCGCUGCCCCCUCCCGCGGGGAUGUGGGCCCUGGAGAGCAAGUCACAGCCCGUCUGCGGGAGGAUCUGCGUAUACGCUCUGCUCCGACUUCCUGCCGUCCUGUCAUUCCCGGGCCUUGAGUAAAGGCUUUGCCGAGCGGGUUGGAGCCCCAAUCUCCUGACGCUCAGCUGCGCAGAGAUGUAGCUUUCCCGUAGUUGUCCCGGACCGCAGUCUUAAUGGGCUCUUGAGCCCCCGUUGGAGCCGGUGGUGCACAACGUGAACUUGCCAAGUCAAGGAAGCAGCCAUUUCAGACUUAAGUCAUGGUCACUCCGAGGCCGCCGCUGUCCCCUCCGGACUUCCUCUUGCCCUCUCUGCCCUGGUGUGAGCCGCGGCCCUGGGUUUCGGGGGGUGGGCAGGAGGGAGCCCCAGGCCGUCCUGGCCCUGAGCGGCGGACGUGUGUCCACGUGCUGCCCUGUGUCCUGCCCCAGCCACCGGGCUCGCUGGCCUCGGAUGAGUUGCGCGUGUCCCUCGUGGACUAGAACACGAACCCCGACGCCCCAGGUGGCCACAGCCUCGGGGCCAGAGGCCCCGCAUGCUGCUGCCCCACAUGUUCCCGCUGGGACUCUUCGAUUGUGGCUUCUGGGUGCCGUGGGGGCUCGGGCGCUGUUGGCUGCUCUCUCCGCCGUGCUGGGGUGUGCAGGAGCCAGGCUGCUCUUGGGACCACCGCCGAGGCCCCUCAACCACGGCUACUUCACCUUCGUGGCUCCAUGCUAAGUGUGGACCUCUCUCGAGGACAUGACGUUUUCCCCUGCUGGCUGCACUGGAGCAGGUCCCCCUGCCCCCUCCCCUCCCUUCUCCAUUUUUUAAACUUCCCCGGGGUUUCUGGGCCUCCCCCUUCCCUUGUACCAUGCCUGUCCGGGCCCUCAGUUGGCAUGGAGCCCUUUUUUUCUCUCUCUUUUUCUUGCUUUCUUCCUUUCUUAGUUCAUUUAUUUGUUUUCAGAGAGACAGAGACAGUGCAAGU